This 492-nucleotide ribosomal RNA is filed under the name uncultured bacterium. Its description in RNAcentral is "partial 16S ribosomal RNA". It matches the Rfam family "Bacterial small subunit ribosomal RNA", at positions 29 to 507 of the family's 1533-position model. The record is from RNAcentral.
AGUGAACGCUGGCGGUAGGCCUAACACAUGCAAGUCGAACGGCAGCACAGUAAGAGCUUGCUCUUACGGGUGGCGAGUGGCGGACGGUUGAGGAAUACAUCGGAAUCUACUUUUUCGUGGGUGAUAACGUAGGGAAACUUACGCUAAUACCGCAUACGACCUACGGGUGAAAGCAGGGGAUCUUCGGCCCUUGCGCGAUUGAAUGAGCCGAUGUCGGAUUAGCUAGUUGGCGGGGUAAAGGCCCACCAAGGCGACGAUCCGUAGCUGGUCUGAGAGGAUGAUCAGCCACACUGGAACUGAGACACGGUCCAGACUCCUACGGGAGGCAGCAGUGGGGAAUAUUGGACAAUGGGCGCAAGCCUGAUCCAGCCAUACCGCGUGGGUGAAGAAGGCCUUCGGGUUGUAAAGCCCUUUUGUUGGGAAAGAAAAGCAGCAGGUUAAUACCCCGCUGUUCUGACGGUACCAAAAGAAUAAGCACCGGCUAACUUCGUG